UUUCCUUAGUCUUGCUUGAUCAGUCCCUGAUACAAUAUUUAUUUGCCUAAGGGCCAAGGAAAGGGCAAAAAAAGCCUCCGCAGUCUUCUCUAAUGAACAUUCUUUCGAGUGAUUGCUUGUGUUUGCGUAUUUUAACCAGGUUUUGGCCUGAGAAGCUUCGAAGAUGGCUCCCCAGCAAUUCAAGGUUCCGAAACCAACAACAAGAAGGCGAACUGGUGCCCUUGAAAAAUCUGGAUCAGCCAUAGCAACUUAGUUAAUGGACGUGCCUCCAUCGGCAAGCCUUCUUCCACAAGAUUUAUUUCCUCCAUUUUCUUUGGAGGGCAUGUAUAUAGG
Molecule: unclassified non-coding RNA, 333 nt
Filed under: Hevea brasiliensis (rubber tree)
Lineage: Eukaryota; Viridiplantae; Streptophyta; Magnoliopsida; Malpighiales; Euphorbiaceae
Source: RNAcentral